RNAcentral lists this ribosomal RNA (268 nucleotides) under Enterobacter cloacae subsp. cloacae. RNAcentral's name for it is "partial 16S ribosomal RNA". It matches the Rfam family "Bacterial small subunit ribosomal RNA", at positions 1 to 263 of the family's 1533-position model. Lineage: Bacteria; Pseudomonadati; Pseudomonadota; Gammaproteobacteria; Enterobacterales; Enterobacteriaceae. The record is from RNAcentral.
UUAAAUUGAAGAGUUUGAUCAUGGCUCAGAUUGAACGCUGGCGGCAGGCCUAACACAUGCAAGUCGAACGGUAACAGGAAGCAGCUUGCUGCUUCGCUGACGAGUGGCGGACGGGUGAGUAAUGUCUGGGAAACUGCCUGAUGGAGGGGGAUAACUACUGGAAACGGUAGCUAAUACCGCAUAAUGUCGCAAGACCAAAGAGGGGGACCUUCGGGCCUCUUGCCAUCGGAUGUGCCCAGAUGGGAUUAGCUAGUAGGUGGGGUAACGG